AUUGAACGCUGGCGGCAGGCCUAACACAUGCAAGUCGAACGAGUGGCGGACGGGUGAGUAAUGUCUGGGAAACUGCCCGAUGGAGGGGGAUAACUACUGGAAACGGUAGCUAAUAACGCAUACCAUCGGAUGUGCCCAGAUGGGAUUAGCUAGUAUGUGGGGUAACGGCUCACCUAGGCGACGAUCCCUAGCUGGGCUGAGAGGAUGACCAGCCACACUUUAUCUGAGACACCUUCCAGACUCCUACGGGAGGCAGCAGUGGUGAAUAUUGACCCAUUGGCGCAAUCCUGAUGCAGCCAUGCCGCGUGUAUGAAGAAGUCCUUCGGGUUGUAAAGUGCUUGCAGCGAGGAGGCGUUACUCGCAGGAGAAGCACCGGCUAACUCCGUGGCAGCAGCCGCGGUAAUUC
This 406-nucleotide ribosomal RNA is filed under the name uncultured bacterium. RNAcentral describes it as "partial 16S ribosomal RNA". It matches the Rfam family "Bacterial small subunit ribosomal RNA", at positions 30 to 526 of the family's 1533-position model. The record is from RNAcentral.